RNAcentral lists this ribosomal RNA (489 nucleotides) under uncultured bacterium. RNAcentral's name for it is "bacterial SSU rRNA". It matches the Rfam family "Bacterial small subunit ribosomal RNA", at positions 28 to 513 of the family's 1533-position model. The record is from RNAcentral.
GACGAACGCUGGCGGCGUGGAUUAGGCAUGCAAGUCGAACGGUAGGAUACCUUCGGGUAUCUGAGAGUGGCGAACGGGUGAGUAACACGUAGGUGAUCUACCCUCAAGAUUGGGACAACCCAGGGAAACUUGGGCUAAUACCGGAUGAAAGCAGCAGUGAUGUUGUUUGAAAGGUGGCGUAAGCUGCCGUUUGGGGAUGAGCCUGCGCUCUAUUAGUUAGUUGGCGGGGUAAAGCCCACCAAGGCGAUGAUAGAUAGGCGGCCUUAACGGGUGGUCGCCCACACUGGGAUUGAGAUACGGCCCAGACUCCUACGGGAGGCAGCAGUCGAGAAUAGUCUACAAUGGCCGAAAGGCUGAUAGUGCGACGCCGCGUGAACGAAGAAGCCCUUCGGGUGUAAGUCUUUAUAUGUGAGCAGUGCUUUCUAUGUGAACAGCAUGGGGAGAGAGAUAUUAGCAUAUGAAUAAGCAACGGCUAACUCCGUGCCAGCA